UUGAAAUUCAAUCUUGUCAUGGUCAGUAGGAAUUUUCCGCCUAAUUGGGAAUCCUUUGCUUUGCAGGUGCGAGACAAUUCUUCAGCCUGGCUUAAUCUGCACAAUACGAAUUUAAAAGAAUCGAGCAAAGGCAAGGCACCGGGACAAGAAGUUUUAUACAUCGAUGAAGAAUAAUGUGGUGUACAAAUGCCACCACUGUUCACAUUUUAAACAAAAAAGAGGAACUCCUAAAGGCCUGAAGGAAAUAUGCCCACCCAAGCCCACGCCGGCUGCUAAAUCAAAAUCUGCCAAGUCCAUGCUUCAAAAGUCUGCCAACUCGGAGGAAGGCACAAGUAGCAAAGAUGAGAUAAUCAAGAUACACGAGACAACUUUGCCUGCAAUUAAUGGAUACUUCCACCAUGAACAGUCUAGCAAUUCCAUUUGCGAGAGUUAAGACAAACGAGAUAAUUAAGAUUGACGAGACUGCUUUAACUGGUAAAUAUCGGUAAGCACUUACAUCACAAACAGUCCAGCAACUCCACAACCAAGCAACAAAUUUUCUCUGUUGGAUGCAAAGAAGAGAAAGAGAAAUAGAUCAGCAAACAAAAAAGAGCAGUCUGAAAGCAGUUCUGCUGCAAUGGAUGCGGGAAAAACUGUCAGCA
RNAcentral lists this long non-coding RNA (641 nucleotides) under Populus trichocarpa (black cottonwood). RNAcentral describes it as "long non-coding RNA (PTRI_LNC004665)". The record is from RNAcentral. Lineage: Eukaryota; Viridiplantae; Streptophyta; Magnoliopsida; Malpighiales; Salicaceae.